AACUGAACUUCUGCAAUUUUCACAUUUAAAGGUAAUUAUCUUAUUUUAUUCUAAAUAUCCUACCUUGUGGCCUUUUUAAAUCAAUAAAUAGAGAGAAAACAAAUAAUUUAAAAUUGUUCUUUGGUUUGUUGCAGGUAUCUAUCGGCUUGAGCAAAUUAAAAAUCGAAUUUGGUGACACAAGGGCGACACUCCAAUAUUAAAUUUAUUUAGGCAGAAAAACAACAGGGGUUCACCACUCAGCAAGCUGGUUAAUCAGAGUCGCCACAUAUUCCAAGAGGAAAAGCUAGUGUGAGCUCUUCUAAAGCGAAAGCAGUUGGCCUAAAAGUGGAUGAGACAAAGGCACCAACAAACGACGCAGAUAGAACAACUCCAAUUUGCAGCCAAUAAACGAGAUUAAGCUUCUGUUUCUUCCUUCCACCCCUUGUACUGCGCAUGCGCGUAUGCCUGCUACACAAAUGUUUAUCGGAAUUGGCAUGUCUCAAAUCCAUUUCAAUACUUUGCAAAGUCUAUUAGAGUAGAGGGACCCGGCCGGUUCACUUCAUUAAACUGCUCACUUUGUUAACUCUAGCCUGCUAUUUCGUUGCCGUGUUGUCACCCUUAUUUCAGCCAUCUGCAUGUGAGGAUUUGGCACACAAGGGUUUACAGUUUCACUUGUCGUCAAUCCAUUCAUUGUCUCUCUGUCUCAUAGAAUCACUCACUCCCAUUAUUACCAACUGUUUCAUGUCUCAGUUAUCGACUUUCAUUGUGACAUCCCUCCAUCACAUCAGCGAGAACAAGGGAGGGAUUAUUAGUUCUAUUGAUGGAACCGGGUUGAUAAAUAAAAUUUAGUUGGCUGGUCAAUAAAAUUAAGACUCUUAUUAUGGGUUGAGCUAUCUCAGGCUACUUUUAGUCUGCACCAUUAUCAAUAAUCGUAUAAUAAUCGCUUGUUGGCUCGUUAUGGUUUGUUGGCAUUUGAACAGGCAGCCUGCCGGUCAGUGAUUUUUA
Long non-coding RNA from Nilaparvata lugens (brown planthopper), 984 nucleotides. RefSeq lists it as uncharacterized. The record is from RefSeq and is a predicted model, not a curated record. The transcript is spliced from 3 exons. NCBI's taxonomy places the organism in Eukaryota, Metazoa, Arthropoda, Insecta, Hemiptera, Delphacidae.